This is a long non-coding RNA of Acanthaster planci (crown-of-thorns starfish), 1227 nucleotides long. The record is from RefSeq and is a predicted model, not a curated record. Lineage: Eukaryota; Metazoa; Echinodermata; Asteroidea; Valvatida; Acanthasteridae.
GGGAGCCUCUCUCCACUCCAUGCCUCCGGGAUCUAGGACACUGCCUUUCGAGGCAAACAUAUCGACGUCGUAGAACUCCAAGCGGUGUUCAACACUCUUUGCCACUUAGGUUCCGCUCGAGUCCAGAGUGACGCCUCAAGGACAGUAGCGUACAUCAAUUGUCAGGGUGGCACUCGCCCUCAUCAACUCCUGCGCCCUUGCGUGGCAGCUCUUCACAUGGGCGAUCGAUCAGGGGAUCUGGCUGGCACAACAUGAUGCCGGGCGGUUGAUACUUCGACUGAGGAGCUUCUCUUGAGGUGGAAGCUUGUCCCUGGAAAAGUACGAUGCGAGGCUGAUCAUCCCACCAGGCAUAAUUGCAGCAGGCCCUCCGAAGAUGGUAUACUUCUUCACCAGCCCCCCUCCAGAGACGGUCGAGGGGUUUGAUUCAAAAGAGAUCUCCCUAUCACCGGUGAUACAAUGCGGUCCUGAAGUGCGGAACUGACUUUCCCUCAUCACGCUGCAAUAACACGAGAGAUCACCACAGAGAUUCGGAUGUGCCAUAACAGUGCCCAGGUUUUGUAUGGUGUCAACUGUGCCCUGUUUUUUUUUAAUGGAAGGGGGAAUCCCUUACACUUCCUAGGAAUGCCAUUACUGUCUGCAGUCACACUCACAUUCUUCAGCUUGAGGCGCACGUUCUUAGCAAAUCAUGACAUCCUAUUGGUCGAAGAGGCAUUUACCACGGAGGCGAGUGAGCUGAUUCUCUCAAAACCAUUCUGCCACUGUAUCCAGGACAAGCAACGGCUGAAGUUGGUGCUGAAUUCAGAAGACAAGCUCACAUUGUAGACGACAUCAUUGGCUACACUGGUUGCUUUGGGUUACAAGAGCAAAAGCUGAUGGACCUGUGUGAACAUCUCGAUGCAGAUAGAGAGGAUGGUAGGAACUGGAUUGCACUGGCUGAAUGGUUUACUUCAAGAGGUUAUCGGUUCAUUAGAAAAGCUGAACGCAUGGAAUGUCCAACCAGGGAGCUACUGAAAGCCUACUUAGGAGUGCGCAGACUGCAUGGCAUUGUGGAUAAAGAUGCAAUUGAGUACCUGAUCAGAGUGUUUGGAGAACUUGGAUUGGAAAAUGGUGUUGAGAUCAUUACCAGCUCAAUAAUACACACCCAAACCCAGGGGCAAACAGCCGUGAGAUACCUUAAGAUGAACACUACAUUUCAAGUUGUUUUCCAAGUACAGUGUAUCUCCCAAA